This is a long non-coding RNA of Trichechus manatus latirostris (Florida manatee), 588 nucleotides long. RefSeq lists it as uncharacterized. The record is from RefSeq and is a predicted model, not a curated record. Lineage: Eukaryota; Metazoa; Chordata; Mammalia; Sirenia; Trichechidae. The transcript is spliced from 3 exons.
CCUUCUGCUCUCCCAUGCAGCACCCUCGUGACGCACCCUUGGGGUGGCAGGUCCCUGGACCCCAAGAGCCGGCCAAUUUGGAUCCCAGAAUGCUCUCAGACUGUGAUGCGACACUUGAACCUCAGUGGGCUGGACCAACAAGCCCAGCUUGGAAAGGGAAGCAAUUUAUGAGGCCUGCCAUGACCCCCACCCCAGGCACCUGCCACACCUUACAUCGUGCCGUCCACCCCGUCCCUAAAGGUGGUGCUCCCAGGCAUGUGCUGGAGCCGGGCUGUGCUGUUCAGUAGCCAGGGCCACCCUGCGGUUGUCGAAUUUCCAGGAAUUCUGCAAACCGGUUGUUAAACACAGCCAUCAUUGAAAGUUAAAUUAUGUAAAUUUACAAUUAAAUAAGUUCUGUUAAAAUCAAAGGUAAUAAAUACUCAAAACUCAUCACUCCCUAGUUAUUUUACUAUUACCUAUGUUCUUUGGGUUAUUUAUACCUGUUGUAUCUGUAUGAGGAGCCCUGGGGCCUCAGUGAUUAAGGGCUUGGCUGCUAACCCAAAGGUCAGUGGUUCAAACCUACCAGCUGCUCCACAGCAGCAAGAUGUG